GACGAACGCUGGCGGCGUGCUUAACACAUGCCAGUCGAACGGAAAGGCCCUGCUUUUGUGGGGUGCUCGAGUGGCGAACGGGUGAGUAACACGUGAGUAACCUGCCCUUGACUUUGGGAUAACUUCAGGAAACUGGGGCUAAUACCGGAUAGGAGCUCCUGCUGCAUGGUGGGGUUGGAAAGUUUCGGCGGUUGGGGAUGGACUCGCGGCUUAUCAGCUUGUUGGUGGGGUAGUGGCUUACCAAGGCUUUGACGGGUAGCCGGCCUGAGAGGGUGACCGGCCACAUUGGGACUGAGAUACGGCCCAGACUCCUACGGGAGGCAGCAGUGGGGAAUAUUGCACAAUGGGCGGAAGCCUGAUGCAGCAACGUCGCGUGCGGGAUGACGGCCUUCGGGUUGUAAACCGCUUUCGCCUGUGACGAAGCGUGAGUGACGGUAAUGGGUAAAGAAGCACCGGCUAACUACGUG
RNAcentral lists this ribosomal RNA (467 nucleotides) under uncultured bacterium. Its description in RNAcentral is "partial 16S ribosomal RNA". It matches the Rfam family "Bacterial small subunit ribosomal RNA", at positions 28 to 507 of the family's 1533-position model. The record is from RNAcentral.